RNAcentral lists this ribosomal RNA (407 nucleotides) under uncultured bacterium. RNAcentral's name for it is "partial 16S ribosomal RNA". It matches the Rfam family "Bacterial small subunit ribosomal RNA", at positions 30 to 526 of the family's 1533-position model. The record is from RNAcentral.
AUUGAACGCUGGCGGCAGGCUUAACACAUGCAAGUCGAGCGGAGCGGCAGACGGGUGAGUAAUGCCUAGGAAUCUGCCUGGUCGUGGUGGAUAACGUCCGGAAACGGGCGCUGAUACCGCAUACUCUCAGAAGAGCCUGGGUGGGAUUAGCUAGUUGGUGGGGUAAAGGCCUACCAAGCCGACGACCCGUAACUGGUCUGAGAGGAUGAUCAGGCACACUGGAACUGAGACACGGUCCAGACUCCUACGGGAGGCAGCAGUGGGGAAUAUUGGACAAUGGGCGAAAGCCUGAUGCAGCCAUGCCGCGUGUGUGAAGAAGGUCUUCGGAUUGUAAAGCACUUUAAGUUGGGAGGCGUUACCAGCAGAAUAAGCACCGGCUAACUACGUGCCAGCAGCCGCGGUAAUAC